AGGAAAGGAGUUCUUGCUUCAUGUUUGGUUUGGAAGAGGAUUAGGAGGAGGUUUGGCCAUACUUGUAUCUAGAUCAAGGUAUGUUUGAGGUUGUGCCAUGAGAUUCAUGCAUGUUUUUAGUUGCUAGCUUGAGUUCUAAUUAGCCCAUGGUUCAAAUCUUUGCUAUGUCAUGGGGAUGAUAUUCGGCCUAGGUGGAUUUUGUGUUAAUGCCAUUGCUUGCUAAAUAUGAAGCUUGUUAAUGAUGCAUGUGAUGGUGGAUUGAUGAUUCUUGAAUCUUCUUUUUAGCAUUUUUGAGUGAGCACAUAUGUGCAUUGGUUGC
Molecule: long non-coding RNA, 319 nt
Filed under: Gossypium barbadense (sea-island cotton)
Lineage: Eukaryota; Viridiplantae; Streptophyta; Magnoliopsida; Malvales; Malvaceae
Description: long non-coding RNA (GBAR_LNC003083)
Source: RNAcentral